Molecule: ribosomal RNA, 256 nt
Filed under: uncultured bacterium
Lineage: Bacteria
Description: partial 16S ribosomal RNA
Rfam family: Bacterial small subunit ribosomal RNA
Source: RNAcentral
UACGGAGGGUGCGAGCGUUGUCCGGAAUCAUUGGGCGUAAAGGGCGCGUAGGUGGCCCGGUCAGUUCGUGGUGAAAGCGCGGGGCUCAACCCUGCGUCGGCCAUGAAUACUGCCGCGGCUGGAGCACUGUAGAGGCAGGCGGAAUUCCGGGUGUAGCGGUGGAAUGCGUAGAGAUCCGGAAGAACACCGGCGGCGAAGGCGGCUGCCUGGACCCGGCCCUGACGCUGAGGCGCGAAAGCUAGGGGGAGCAAACAGG